Molecule: ribosomal RNA, 484 nt
Filed under: uncultured bacterium
Lineage: Bacteria
Description: partial 16S ribosomal RNA
Rfam family: Bacterial small subunit ribosomal RNA
Source: RNAcentral
AUUGAACGCUGGCGGCAGGCCUAACACAUGCAAGUCGAGCGGAUGAAGGGAGCUUGCUCCUGGAUUCAGCGGCGGACGGGUGAGUAAUGCCUAGGAAUCUGCCUGGUAGUGGGGGAUAACGUCCGGAAACGGGCGCUAAUACCGCAUACGUCCUGAGGGAGAAAGUGGGGGAUCUUCGGACCUCACGCUAUCAUAUGAGCCUAGGUCGGAUUAGCUAGUUGGUGGGGUAAAGGCCUACCAAGGCGACGAUCCGUAACUGGUCUGAGAGGAUGAUCAGUCACACUGGAACUGAGACACGGUCCAGACUCCUACGGGAGGCAGCAGUGGGGAAUAUUGGACAAUGGGCGAAAGCCUGAUCCAGCCAUGCCGCGUGUGUGAAGAAGGUCUUCGGAUUGUAAAGCACUUUAAGUUGGGAGGAAGGGAAGUAAGUUAAUACCUUGCUGUUUUGACGUUACCAACAGAAUAAGCACCGGCUAACUUCGUG